UACGUAGGUGACCAGCGUUGUCCGGAUUUACUGGGCGUAAAGAGCGCGCAGGCGGUCGUUCAAGUCGAGUGUGAAAGCCCCCGGCUCAACUGGGGAGGGUCAUUCGAAACUGGUCGACUCGAAGGCAGGAGAGGGUAGUGGAAUUCCCGGUGUAGUGGUGAAAUGCGUAGAUAUCAGGAGGAACACCAAUUGCGAAGGCAGCUCGCUGGGACGUUACUGACGCUGAGACGCGAAAGCGUGGGGAGCAAACAGG
This 253-nucleotide ribosomal RNA is filed under the name uncultured bacterium. RNAcentral's name for it is "partial 16S ribosomal RNA". It matches the Rfam family "Bacterial small subunit ribosomal RNA", at positions 524 to 776 of the family's 1533-position model. The record is from RNAcentral.